UGUACUGCAUGGUAUCUGCGUUCAGCAGUUAAUUCUUGCUGGGUGUUCAAAGAACAGUGCCUGGCAUUGUUUUUCUUGGCUUUGUGCAUGUUAGGCCAGUAUUUUUACUGACACAGUA
Molecule: small nucleolar RNA, 118 nt
Organism: Cervus hanglu yarkandensis (Yarkand deer)
Lineage: Eukaryota; Metazoa; Chordata; Mammalia; Artiodactyla; Cervidae
Source: Ensembl